Molecule: ribosomal RNA, 889 nt
Filed under: Torula fici
Lineage: Eukaryota; Fungi; Ascomycota; Dothideomycetes; Pleosporales; Torulaceae
Description: eukaryotic LSU rRNA
Rfam family: Eukaryotic large subunit ribosomal RNA
Source: RNAcentral
CAGCAUAUCAAUAAGCGGAGGAAAAGAAACAACAGGGGAUUGCCCUUAGUAACGGCGAGUGAAGCGGCAACAGCUCAAAUUUGAAAUCUGGCUCCUUUGGGGUCCGAGUUGUAAUUUGCAGAGGGAGCUUUUGGCGUCGGUCGUGGUCUAAGUUCCUUGGAACAGGACGUCACAGAGGGUGAGAAUCCCGUACGUGGCCGCCGGCCUUCGCCUUGUAAAGCCCCUUCGACGAGUCGAGUUGUUUGGGAAUGCAGCUCUAAAUGGGAGGUAAAUUUCUUCUAAAGCUAAAUACCCGCCAGAGACCGAUAGCGCACAAGUAGAGUGAUCGAAAGAUGAAAAGCACUUUGGAAAGAGAGUGAAAAAGCACGUGAAAUUGUUGAAAGGGAAGCGCUUGCGGCCAGACGUGCCCGCGGUUGAUCAUCCAGGCUCCAGCCUGGUGCACUCCUCCGCGGGCAGGCCAGCAUCAGUUCGGGCGGUCGGAUAAAGGCCUCUAUCACGUACCACCCCUCGGGGUGGCCUUAUAGGGGAGGCGCAACACGGCCAGCCCGGACUGAGGUUCCGCGCAUCUGCUAGGAUGCUGGCGUAAUGGCAGCAAGCGGCCCGUCUUGAAACACGGACCAAGGAGUCUAACAUCUAUGCGAGUGUUUGGGUGUCAAGCCCGAGCGCGCAAUGAAAGUGAACGGAGGUGGGAACCCUUACCGGUGCACCAUCGACCGAUCCUGAUGUCUUCGGAUGGAUUUGAGUAAGAGCAUAGCUGUUGGGACCCGAAAGAUGGUGAACUAUGCCUGAAUAGGGUGAAGCCAGAGGAAACUCUGGUGGAGGCUCGCAGCGGUUCUGACGUGCAAAUCGAUCGUCAAAUUUGGGCAUAGGGGCGAAAGACUAAUCGUCA